Molecule: ribosomal RNA, 327 nt
Filed under: Triticum aestivum (bread wheat)
Lineage: Eukaryota; Viridiplantae; Streptophyta; Magnoliopsida; Poales; Poaceae
Description: partial small subunit ribosomal RNA
Source: RNAcentral
AUGCACUCGUGGUUAACUGAUAACUGCAGCGGAAACAAAGUAAUAUCAGCACCACAUCAUGUACUAACUCAAGGAUCGUUGCUUAGCACGAAAAGAAAUAUAUGCAACAGCAUAUAUGGAGGCAGAAUAUGUUACUCAGCAGGCAAGACACUCCUCAACCUAGUGUCUUGUGGUAGGAGUAAGUUUGGCCAGCAGCAAGCAUCAACAAAGAGACACCAGAUUUUUACGUCGAAAACCCCUCAACUUGAGGGGAAAAACCACGGGCCGAAGCCACCGAAAUCCUUUUCCACUAUUGUCAAAUGUGGGAUACAACAAGUUCUUCUCUAG